UACGGAGGAUGCAAGCGUUAUCCGGAAUGAUUGGGCGUAAAGGGUCCGCAGGUGGCAGUGUAAGUCUGCUGUCAAAGAAUGAGGCUUAACCUCAUCAAGGCAGUGGAAACUACACAGCUAGAGUACGGUCGGGGUAGAAGGAAUUCCUGGUGUAGCGGUGAAAUGCGUAGAGAUCAGGAAGAACACCGGUGGCGAAAGCGUUCUGCUAGACCUGUACUGACACUGAGGGACGAAAGCUAGGGAGCGAAUGGG
This 252-nucleotide ribosomal RNA is filed under the name uncultured bacterium. RNAcentral describes it as "partial 16S ribosomal RNA". It matches the Rfam family "Bacterial small subunit ribosomal RNA", at positions 524 to 776 of the family's 1533-position model. The record is from RNAcentral.